RNAcentral lists this ribosomal RNA (1551 nucleotides) under Verrucomicrobiota bacterium. Its description in RNAcentral is "bacterial SSU rRNA". It matches the Rfam family "Bacterial small subunit ribosomal RNA". Lineage: Bacteria; Pseudomonadati; Verrucomicrobiota. The record is from RNAcentral.
UAUACGGAGAGUUUGAUUCUGGCUCAGAACGAACGCUGGCGGCGUGGAUAAGACAUGCAAGUGGAACGCUGGUUGCCGGGUAGCAAUAUUCGGCAAUUGGAGUCGCGUAAGGGUGCGUAACACAUGGGUAAUCUACCGUUAAGUCUGGAAUAACUCGCUGAAAGGCGAGCUAAUGUCGGAUGUGUUUGCAGGAAGAUCUCUUCCGGCAAAUAAAGUUGGGGACCGCAAGGCCUGACGCUUGACGAUGAGCCCGUGGCCUAUCAGCUAGUUGGUGGGGUAAUGGCCCACCAAGGCCGAGACGGGUAGCUGGUCUGAGAGGACGACCAGCCACACUGGAACUGAGACACGGUCCAGACACCUACGGGUGGCAGCAGUCGAGAAUCUUUCACAAUGGGCGCAAGCCUGAUGGAGCGACGCCGCGUGGGGGAUGAAUGGCUUCGGCCCUUAAACCCCUGUCAUUUGCGAUCAAACCUCGCGACCUAAUACGCCGCGAGUUGAUAGUAGCGAAAGAGGAAGGGACGGCUAACUCUGUGCCAGCAGCCGCGGUAAUACAGAGGUCCCAAGCGUUGUUCGAAUUCACUGGGCGUAAAGGGUGCGUAGGCGGUCGGGUAAGUCUGACGUGAAAUGCCGGAGCUCAACUCCGGAACGGCGUUGGAAACUAUUCGGCUUGAGGAUUGGAGGGGGGACUGGAAUUCUCGGUGUAGCAGUGAAAUGCGUAGAUAUCGAGAGGAACACCCGUGGCGAAGGCGAGUCCCUGGACAAUUCCUGACGCUGAGGCACGAAAGCUAGGGGAGCAAACAGGAUUAGAUACCCUGGUAGUCCUAGCCCUAAACGGUGCAUGUUUGCUGUGGGCGGAAUCGACCCCGUCCGUGGCGAAGCUAACGCAUUAAACAUGCCGCCUGGGAAGUACGGCCGCAAGGCUAAAACUCAAAGAAAUUGACGGGGGCCUGCACAAGCGGUGGAGUAUGUGGCUCAAUUCGAUGCAACGCGAAGAACCUUACCUGGCCUUGACAUGCAAGUAGUAGAAUCCUGAAAGGGAGACGAGUGUAGCAAUACACAGCUUGCACAGGUGCUGCAUGGCUGUCGUCAGCUCGUGUCGUGAGAUGUUGGGUUAAGUCCCGCAACGAGCGCAACCCCUGUGUCCUGUUGCCACCCCUUGAUUGGGAGCACUCUGGACAGACUGCCUCGCUUAAACGAGGAGGAAGGUGGGGAUGACGUCAAGUCAGUAUGGCCCUUACGGCCAGGGCUGCACACGUACUACAAUGCCCGGCACAACGGGAAGCAAAGCCGUCAGGCAGAGCAAAUCCCCCAAAACCGGGCUCAGUUCAGAUUGUCGUCUGCAACUCGACGGCAUGAAGCUGGAAUCGCUAGUAAUGGCGCAUCAGCUACGGCGCCGUGAAUACGUUCCCAGGCCUUGUACACACCGCCCGUCACAUCAUGAAAGCCGGUUGUACCCGAAGUCGCUUUUCCGCGCCGAAGGUAUGGCUGGUGAUUGGGAUGAAGUCGUAACAAGGUAGCCGUAGGGGAACCUGCGGCUGGAUCACCUCCUUU